AUCUCGGAAGGAUUCGAUUCCGGUGGCGAAGGCGAAAUCGGAUAAGGUCAUCAUAGAUUUCGAUUUGUUUUUUUCAUAGGGCCUAGUUAGUGGAUAAAGAUUUGAUAGAUUUCGAUUGACGGAAGUUUUGCUAGGUCACUGGUUUCGCGACGGUUUCGGAAAGAAGCGACGGAGGAUGGCAACCGGAGGCGUAUAUCGGCUGGAACAAAGCUUUACAAACCCGGAGCAAUUGAAGAGUGUGAACCCUAAGACUUUGAUACCUCUUCUCUUCUCUCUCUCUUCAAAGAUAUCUCUCUUCCCUCUACCUCAAUUCCAAUCCAAGAUUCGCCGUUGGUGGUCCUUAUCACCACCGUUAUCCUCCGCUUAGCCACCCUGAAGCUUCGUCUGUUGCUCUGCUAAACGUCCAACUGUCUAUGCUUCUCUGAGCCUUUCUACAUUGGGGGAACAAUUAGAACAACUCUCGGAAGAGAAGACCGUAUGGAUCGAGCCAAUGGACGGUGAGGCAAAAGGCGUAUGUAGAGGCGUUGAAUCUGGAUACGAUGUUUACUCCGCAGCUUGUAGUUCAAGGCUGUUCUCAAUUGAUCGGAAACGAGGAAGAGACGCUGUUAAAAUCAAUCUCCGAAGCGCCUAGGUUUCCUUCUCCAGCUUUCCGGGCGACUUUCCAGAGACCAACCUCAGAGACACUGCAAGUAUCACUCACCGGAGCUUUGAGAAUGAAAGUAGAUGGAAACGGAAUGGACAUAAUUGUGGCGAUAUACGACAUCGUUCUAGAAUAAGAGCCUUGAAAGCCCCUGACUGAUCAUGAAUUGUCUUUUGACAAGCGAAAUGCUUGUGCUUGUGUCAUGGAUCCUUGGUUAUUGUGGCUUUAGCCUCUGGUUAUGUGGUGUAGGCCUUAGAUGUGUUUUAUGAGUUUUGUGUUUGUUGCUGGAUUAGAUUUUUCAAAGCUUAGCCCUGCAGGUAGUGUUGUUAUUAAUUGAAGUGAAAAUAGUGUUUAUCAAAGUUUUCAUGUAUCAUUUCACAUUUAAUCAAAUAGGUAACUCAAAUGGUUGUUUUCUGCCUCAUUUCCUCUGCAUUUCCUGUAACAGCUUGAUUCACUUGGUUCAAUGGCUUGAAUUCUUUGAAUUUCAGACAUGUGCUCUUUUUGUUAACAUUUGUUGGCAAGAUCUCUUGACUCUUUAUUUUUUGUAUGGCUGGCAUGUUCACGCGUUUUAAAUUGAUUCAAGCGUUUCCUGGGGAAUAUAAGAAUCUUUAUUUUGGAUCUAAUACGAUUUUUGAAGAAUCUGGGCUUGCUAAUUCUUUGGUUUCGGUUACUUGGGUCUGAAGAAGGUCUUUGUUUUUUUUGGAUCUGUGUAAUUAGGAAAAAAAAUUGUAGCGAUUUCUGCUUUUGUUUAUGUUCGCUUACCGAAAUCGAGAAUCGAGAAUCGGAAUUAGGUAUAGGCUUUCGAAAGGUCGAAUCUUGUAAAAUCGAAACGGAGAAGGAGAAGAAGAAUAAGAGGACAGAGAAUUGGUUAAGUAGGGAAAUACUAACAAUUAAAAUAUCUUUUGGUUUCUUAAGACAAUGUCGUGUUCUGUUUCACAACAAUUAUCAUGAAUUUUAUCACAUUUCAACCAAAAA
Long non-coding RNA from Arabidopsis lyrata subsp. lyrata, 1615 nucleotides. RefSeq lists it as uncharacterized. Lineage: Eukaryota; Viridiplantae; Streptophyta; Magnoliopsida; Brassicales; Brassicaceae. The record is from RefSeq and is a predicted model, not a curated record. The transcript has 2 exons.